ACCGGAUAGGACGAAAGUCUAAAGGUGCUUCUGGCACCGCUGAUGGAUGAGCCUGCGGCGCAUUAGCUAGUUGGUAGGGUAAAGGCCUACCAAGGCGACGAUGCGUAGCCGACCUGAGAGGGUGAACGGCCACACUGGGACUGAGACACGGCCCAGACUCCUACGGGAGGCAGCAGUAGGGAAUCUUCGGCAAUGGGCGAAAGCCUGACCGAGCAACGCCGCGUGGAUGAUGAAGGCCUUCGGGUUGUAAAAUUCUGUUAUAAGGGAAGAACGACUCUAGUAGGAAAUGGCUAGAGUGUGACGGUACCUUAUGAGAAAGCCACGGCUAACUACGUGCCAGCAGCCGCGGUAAUACGUAGGUGGCGAGCGUUAUCCGGAAUUAUUGGGCGUAAAGAGCGCGCAGGUGGUUGAUUAAGUCUGAUGUGAAAGCCCACGGCUUAACCGUGGAGGGUCAUUGGAAACUGGUCAACUUGAGUGCAGAAGAGGGAAGUGGAAUUCCAUAUGUAGCGGUGAAAUGCGUAGAGAUAUGGAGGAACACCAGUGGCGAAGGCGGCUUCCUGGUCUGUAACUGACACUGAGGCGCGAAAGCGUGGGGAGCAAAUAAGAUUAGAUACCCUGGUAGUCCACGCCGUAAACGAUGAGUGCUAGGUGUUAGGCCCUUUCCGGGGCUUAGUGCCGCAGGUACGGCUUUAAGCCCUCCGCCUGGGGAGUUCGACCGCAAGGUUGAAACUCAAAGGAAUGGACGGGGGCCCGCACAAGCGGUGGAGCAUGUGGUUUAAUUCGAAGCAACGGGAAGAACCUUACCAGGGUCUUGACAUCCCGAUGCUAUUCCUAGAGAUAGGAAGUUUCUUCGGAACAUCGGUGACAGGUGGUGCAUGGUUGUCGUCAGCUCGUGUCGUGAGAUGUUGGGUUAAGUCCCGCAACGAGCGCAACCCCUAUUGUUAGUUGCUACCAUUAAGUUGAGCACUCUAGCGAGACUGCCUGGGUUAACCAGGAGGAAGGUGGGGAUGACGUCAAAUCAUCAUGCCCCUUAUGUCUAGGGCUACACACGUGCUACAAUGGCAAGUACAGAGAGAUGCAAUACGAAAGAGGUGGAGCUAAACUUCAAAACUUGUCUCAGUUCGGAUUGUAGGCUGAAACUCGCCUACAUGA
Molecule: ribosomal RNA, 1152 nt
Filed under: uncultured bacterium
Lineage: Bacteria
Description: bacterial SSU rRNA
Rfam family: Bacterial small subunit ribosomal RNA
Source: RNAcentral